UUCUGAAGGAUGGCAGUCGGGUGAAGCCCCUCUCAGUCAGCCUGCCCCACAAUGGCACCGUCCCUCCCCAGACCCACACAGAGCCCCAGACCCACUCAGAGCCCCAGACCCACACAGAGCCCCAGACCCACACAGAGCCCCAGACCCCCAUCAGCUGCACAGUGACCUUCUGCUCCCCUCAGCCCCUGGACCUCAGCUCACACAUCACAUUCCUGGACCACCUCAACAACAGGUUCAGGGUGGAGGUCUGUGCUACAGCAGAUAACAGUUUGUUGACAGUGUGGCCCUACCUGGCUCUGCACCGCUCUGAGCAGCAGAUAGUCCUCAAGACUGGUUGUCUGAGCGGCUGCAGCGGCGAAUCAGGGCCCUCUCAGAUGACAGGGAAGGCGGUGCUAC
Molecule: long non-coding RNA, 396 nt
Organism: Oncorhynchus gorbuscha (pink salmon)
Lineage: Eukaryota; Metazoa; Chordata; Actinopteri; Salmoniformes; Salmonidae
Exons: 3
Source: RefSeq, a predicted model, not a curated record